GAUGAAGAACGUAGCGAAAUGCGAUAAGUAGUGUGAAUUGCAGAAUUCAGUGAAUCAUCGAAUCUUUGAACGCACAUUGCGCCCUUUUGUAUUCCAAAGGGCAUGCCUGUUCGAGCGUCAUUUGUACCCUCAAGCUUUGCUUGGUGUUGGGCGUCUUGUCUCCAGUUCGCUGGAGACUCGCCUUAAAGUAAUUGGCAGCCGGCCUACUGGUUUCGGAGCGCAGCACAAGUCGCGCUCUCUUCCAGCCAAGGUCAGCAUCCACAAAGCCUUUUUUCAACUUUUGACCUCGGAUCAGGUAGGGAUACCCGCUGAACUUAAGCAUAUCAAUAAGCGGAGGA
RNAcentral lists this unclassified non-coding RNA (338 nucleotides) under soil metagenome. RNAcentral's name for it is "partial contains 5.8S ribosomal RNA, internal transcribed spacer 2, and large subunit ribosomal RNA". The stretch from base 1 to 120 matches the Rfam family "5.8S ribosomal RNA", at positions 35 to 154 of the family's 154-position model. The record is from RNAcentral.